CUGGAAUGAUGUAGCUUAGCCAAAUCCGACAUUGAUGUGCUCCAUAAGGGAUUUUCAUCAAAGCUUGUACCUCUUGUUGUAGAGGCACAAUGUGUCUCUUACACACACUUGAUCAAGCUUUAGAUGAUAUGCCUUCUGUAGAAGCGCAUUGUUGUGACGUCAACAUAGAGUUUGGUUGUUCCUGACCAGA
This is a small nucleolar RNA of Corylus avellana, 190 nucleotides long. RefSeq annotates it as small nucleolar RNA snoR127. The record is from RefSeq and is a predicted model, not a curated record. Lineage: Eukaryota; Viridiplantae; Streptophyta; Magnoliopsida; Fagales; Betulaceae.